Chinchilla lanigera (long-tailed chinchilla) is the source of this 1708-nucleotide long non-coding RNA. Ensembl lists it as uncharacterized. The record is from Ensembl. NCBI's taxonomy places the organism in Eukaryota, Metazoa, Chordata, Mammalia, Rodentia, Chinchillidae.
GAAGGUUCUACCACUUCCCAAGUGUGGCACCGUGGGACCAGGGCUUUAACUCCUGGGCCUUUGGGAGCCAUCCAACCUGCCAGCUAUAGAGCUUGUGGCAUGAUCAACAUGUCACAGAGGAAUGAUUGUGAUGAGACAACACAGCCUACAAAGCCACACUUCCCUAUUUAGAGGUCCAUCUUAUGUCUUCUGCUUUACUACUUGCUGAUCGCUCCCUAUCUGAAAGAACAGGUUCCCUCAUCCUGGAUGUAGGCCGUGAGCAGCUGGCAAAGCUACUUGUCCAUGAGCCAUCAGCGAGGAGUUCUUCCCAUCUUUAUGUUACAGAAGCACAGAUGCCUGAGUGGACCUCAGCUAUUGUGACCAUGAGGAAGACAACCAGGACAGAGAAAGAAUAAAAUGCAAAAGUUGGUGGCUCGGGCAGAGAAUGAGCACCAGUUCCUCCAGGCAUCGAGGAGAGCUUUGGCUAACUAGUUACCACGCAAGGAGUACCCUCCCGCCUUGCACAAGCUUUUGGCUUCUUAUCACCGAGCUUCUCAUCCAAAUACAAACUUACCUGAGCUUAUUACCCACCUGCAAUUUCUUCUAGGCAAGGAAAAGUUUAUAGUGGUUAAAUCUCUAGAAUUAAUUGUGGCAAAAAAGGUCUUUCAUGUUUUAGCAUUUCUUAAGGCAAGAAAAUCAGAAUACAUAUUGGCAUUCUAAGAAAUAUAGCUUGCAGGGAGAUGGCAUAGAUUAUUUCUUCAAAAACAUAGGAAUUGAAAUGUUCCUUUCUUACCUUAGCUGUUAGUAUCUGAAUUCUGAUAAAAUGUCUAGUUACUUGGUGUACUGAGUUAAAACAAAUCACUACCAUUUGCACUUUUUAUGCACAUAAUAUUAGGACUGUUUGCCAGUGUGCCAUCUGUAAGGAGAUUGUAUUUUAUGCAAAUGAUUUCUAAUUAAUAACAAGAAUUCCUGCCUAAAUAAUCACAAAUACAUAAAGUUUAUAACAAAUGGACAGUAAAGAAAGCUGUCCAUAGUCUUAAACUUUAUAAAACACACACAGUCUAGGUUAUAAUUAUUUCAUUUAUGUCUGUAAAAAGUAACUCUACCACAUUAUAUUCUAGGAUGAUUUCAUGGUCUGCUUCAACACCAUCUUGUAGAAAGAAGUUCGUGAGAUUCAAAGGAACACAGGGGGCCAGGGUUGUAGCUCAGUGGCACAGUGCCUGCCUGGCAAACACAAGGUCCUGAGUUUGAUUCUAGGUACCAAUAAAUAAAUAAAUUAAUUAAUUAAUUAAAAGGAGCGCAGGAGUGCUAUGAUAAAUAUUUUAGAUGUUAUAUUAGCUGAAAGACAUAACUAUUAGAGCUCUACAAAAAUAGAAGGAAAUGAUGAGUGUAAUGAUUGAUACAUUGUGUCAACUUGAAAAGUUUAGAAGUUUAGCUAAGUGACUCAGCAGGGUACCAUAGUCCUCACUUUGUAAACAUUCUGAGCCAGUGCAAGAGGAGAGCAUGGAGAUGGUAUGGGUGUAAAAGAGCCACCCUAGGGCAAGGGGCCUGCUUACAAUACAAGGGAGGAGAAGAGGCUUGUCCCCUCAACUCCCCUGUUUUGCUCUUGUUGCUUUUGCUGUCUUCUACUGCCUUGAAGUGUUACCCCUCACCUUUCCACCCUGCCUUGGAGCCAGUGGAUUACUGACUAAAACCUCCACAAACUGUGAGCUAAAUAAACCUUUCCUCC